This 1149-nucleotide long non-coding RNA is filed under the name Musa acuminata (dwarf banana). RNAcentral describes it as "long non-coding RNA (MACU_LNC006495)". Lineage: Eukaryota; Viridiplantae; Streptophyta; Magnoliopsida; Zingiberales; Musaceae. The record is from RNAcentral.
UGAGCCAGGACAAUCAAAGAUCUACCCAAUAACACUUCAUAUGAGCUGGCAUUAUAUCACAAUUUUCCAAAGGUUACAGUUUCUAGACAAGGUUGAAAUUUUUGACCAAAGAUUUUCAAACUGAUUUUUCAUCAGGCUUUUCUUGAUUGAUGCCCCUUUUUCUUUUUCUCCAUCAGUGGCCUCAUUUUUCCUAUAUCCUAAAAAUGUUCCUGAUACAAUAGACUAAAAGAUAUCCAUCCUUUGUAUUGAAGUGAUCCAUAGGGUGAAUCAUGUUUUUGAAUACGAUUAUAACAUCUUUGACAUCUUCAUAACACUAAUUAUAGGGUUACAAUGUUUCUGCUAUCUCUCUUUGACCCCUUUGUAUAACAGUAAUUAAUUAUUUGACGCCAUUUGGAUAUGAAAAAUACCUUUAAGCAAACAAAUACAAUAAUAGUAGGGGGAAGAAAAGGCAAAAUUAAAGACAUUUUUCAUAUUAAAAUCUUUAAAAGACUAUAUUCCUCAAUUCAUGCAAAUCUCCCACAACAAGUACACGCAUAAAUCACAUUCACAUGAGUUAAUGGAACUGUUAAACAAGAUGAGGACGCCAUACAUGAAAUAAAAUAAUAAUUUAAAGGAUAAAUUUUGGCUCUUUUUAGGAGAUAAGUUUUUGAAACAAAGACUGAUUCAUCCGCAGGAUGCAUGUGUAAGAUCAAAAGUCGUAGUGCAAAUCAUGCUAUGCCAUCGACGACAGCUUUUAAGAGACCUAGCGACUAGGAAUCGAAACCAAACCAACAUCAAAACACUCCGAGAUAGGAACAUUGGAGACAUUGAUGAGAAAGCUCAGCCCAAGACAUCGAUUAGGAACAAAUAAGAAGACCUAGAACCAUCAGUAAUGGUUGAAAUGAAAGCAAAAAAUAGAUUUUGAUUGCUCUUGGAUAUGGUACUCAUCAGCAAUGCCCGAUUAAGAGAAGAACAAAAUCACUUAUUAGUGCUUGAACUGACGUUGAGAGAUAGAGAGGGAGAGAAGAAUCGAUGGAUCCGAUUACCCCCGCCAUCGGAAGACCCCCGAGCGAAACAGGGGGAGAACGAAAGCUCUUCGAAUGCAAUUCCGCGAAACGGCGGGCGGUUACACAGCGGACGCAACUAAAUAGGAGAACAGGUCCAUUGUGA